GAGUGUGCCUGCUGUCUCUGACAUGUCAGUGGGAAGCUCCCUCCUUCAGCUCGUUCUGGACUAUUUUUGAGCCUCUGUGCUGCAGGAGACUGUUUUCAGUGACGUGUGAUGCAGACAGCAUGCUGGCAGGCACUGCGGUGCAGAUAAACGGGCCCGGCCAAGGAGCAUUGGACCCAUGAUGGAUUUCUCCUGUGAUGAAACAGACAAAGGCCUGCCGGUACAGAUGCACAGCCUCCGAGAGUUCGAGCAGGU
Molecule: long non-coding RNA, 252 nt
Organism: Parambassis ranga (Indian glassy fish)
Lineage: Eukaryota; Metazoa; Chordata; Actinopteri; Ambassidae
Source: Ensembl